This 858-nucleotide ribosomal RNA is filed under the name Frigoribacterium sp. PE.7. RNAcentral's name for it is "bacterial SSU rRNA". It matches the Rfam family "Bacterial small subunit ribosomal RNA", at positions 56 to 926 of the family's 1533-position model. The record is from RNAcentral. Lineage: Bacteria; Bacillati; Actinomycetota; Actinomycetes; Micrococcales; Microbacteriaceae.
UGCAGUCGAACGAUGAACUGGAGCUUGCUCCAGGGAUUAGUGGCGAACGGGUGAGUAACACGUGAGUAACCUGCCCUUGACUCUGGGAUAAGCGCUAGAAAUGGCGUCUAAUACCGGAUACGAGCUUCAGCCGCAUGGCUAGGAGUUGGAAAGAAUUUUGGUCAAGGAUGGACUCGCGGCCUAUCAGCUAGUUGGUGAGGUAAUGGCUCACCAAGGCGACGACGGGUAGCCGGCCUGAGAGGGUGACCGGCCACACUGGGACUGAGACACGGCCCAGACUCCUACGGGAGGCAGCAGUGGGGAAUAUUGCACAAUGGGCGAAAGCCUGAUGCAGCAACGCCGCGUGAGGGAUGACGGCCUUCGGGUUGUAAACCUCUUUUAGUAGGGAAGAAGCGAAAGUGACGGUACCUGCAGAAAAAGCACCGGCUAACUACGUGCCAGCAGCCGCGGUAAUACGUAGGGUGCAAGCGUUGUCCGGAAUUAUUGGGCGUAAAGAGCUCGUAGGCGGUUUGUCGCGUCUGCUGUGAAAUCUGGGGGCUCAACCCCCAGCCUGCAGUGGGUACGGGCAGACUAGAGUGCGGUAGGGGAGAUUGGAAUUCCUGGUGUAGCGGUGGAAUGCGCAGAUAUCAGGAGGAACACCGAUGGCGAAGGCAGAUCUCUGGGCCGUAACUGACGCUGAGGAGCGAAAGCAUGGGGAGCGAACAGGAUUAGAUACCCUGGUAGUCCAUGCCGUAAACGUUGGGAACUAGAUGUGGGGGCCAUUCCACGGUCUCCGUGUCGCAGCUAACGCAUUAAGUUCCCCGCCUGGGGAGUACGGCCGCAAGGCUAAAACUCAAAGGAAUUGACGGGGGCCCGCAC